AUUCGUGAUAAAGGGUCUAACUGGGCCGUGUCCUUCCGGGCUCUAGGUUUGCAGUAAGCAUCGUCCUUGAACCAACAGGAGGACACGCUGCCCACUGCAGGAGGCCGGGAGGAAUUGCAUCAGGGUUAAUUAUGUGGAAUCUUUUCGGAAUUGCUCUGAACAAACCAUCUAAGUUGCUGAGGAUCUCACUCAGUUGCUGAGGCUGGCCUCCACUUUGUGAUCCUCCUGCCUCAGCCUCCCGAGCCUCUCGGAUGACAGGCGGGCACCACCGUGUCCAGAGUGAUUUUUUUUUUUUUUUAAAUUGCCAUGAACGUAUUAAUCAGCUUGGGCCCCCAGGGGUUGCGCUGGACGGAUGUCGCUGGCUGAUUUAUCGAAACAAGUUGGGGCCUCAGCCCACCUUAGCACUCCAAACGGAGUAACUUGAGGCCAAUGGCCUCCUUUAGGGAACGCGUUGAUGCAGAGUUGACCGCGGAUCUGUUCCUGGCGGAGGGACUUGCAAGAGCUGGCUCUCCUGUCCCUUCCGAUUCUUGAGCUAAAACAGCACCAGUCAAUUCUUGGAGGACUCUUUCCAGCAAUCUCCACAACAGGGAAGAGGCGCACAGCUCUCUUAUUUAAAUGACACGGAACAGGCCAUUGCAGGGCUGUGAGUGACAGGGCCAGGGAGCCGCAUUGCAGGCGCCAAGCACCGCGGAGCCCGUGCGCAUGGACGCGGUGGCGCACCGCUGUCCUCCCAGAGGCUCCGGAGGCUGAGGCAGGAGGAUCGUGAGUUCAAAGCCAGCCUCAGCCAAAGCGAGGCCGUAAGCAACUCAGGGAGACCCUGUCUCUCAAUAAAAUGCAAAAUAGGGCUGGGGACGGGGCUCAGGGGUCGAGGGCCCCCGAGUUUAAUCCCUGGUACCCCCCAAAAAAGAAAAGAAA
RNAcentral lists this long non-coding RNA (915 nucleotides) under Marmota monax (woodchuck). The record is from RNAcentral. Lineage: Eukaryota; Metazoa; Chordata; Mammalia; Rodentia; Sciuridae.